This 199-nucleotide long non-coding RNA is filed under the name Elaeis guineensis (African oil palm). RNAcentral's name for it is "long non-coding RNA (EGUI_LNC030324)". Lineage: Eukaryota; Viridiplantae; Streptophyta; Magnoliopsida; Arecales; Arecaceae. The record is from RNAcentral.
UGGUUAUAUUGAAUCAUUAAAACUAUCAUUAUAUAGUAUUGUUGGCUUAUAAAUUAUUUUUAAAUUAACAUUUCACAAAUUCAUUGCAGUCUUGACUUCAGGUCUCAUCUAAAGAGGAAGCUUUAUAAUGCAUCUUUAAGUAGAGUUUCUGUCCAAAAGAUCUAAAUUGGAACUUUUCUCUUACAGAUUUUUUUAGGCU